This 71-nucleotide transfer RNA is filed under the name Mycobacterium mantenii. Its description in RNAcentral is "tRNA-Gly". Lineage: Bacteria; Bacillati; Actinomycetota; Actinomycetes; Mycobacteriales; Mycobacteriaceae. The record is from RNAcentral.
GAAAAUCUGUUCGAGCGUGGAAUCAGCUUCCCAAGCUGAAUACGCGGGUUCGAUUCCCGUCAUCGGCUCCA